RNAcentral lists this small nuclear RNA (172 nucleotides) under Scrippsiella hangoei. Its description in RNAcentral is "partial Dictyostelium signal recognition particle". The record is from RNAcentral. Lineage: Eukaryota; Dinophyceae; Peridiniales; Peridiniaceae.
GGUUGGAAGGCGUGUCACGACUGGCCGCGCGGAGAGAUCGGUUUGGCAAAGGCCGCUGGCGGCUUGGGCAUCACCUCGCCUGUGCGCGUCACAGGGAGCACGCCUUGUGCAAACGGGCCCUCGCUGUGCAGCCGCUGGGUCUACUGUACCUCGCUGAGCCACGGCAACUGAG